CGCGUAGGUGGCUAAUUAAGUCAAAUGUGAAAUCCCCGAGCUUAACUUGGGAAUUGCAUUCGAUACUGGUUGGCUAGAGUAUGGGAGAGGAUGGUAGAAUUCCAGGUGUAGCGGUGAAAUGCGUAGAGAUCUGGAGGAAUACCGAUGGCGAAGGCAGCCAUCUGGCCUAAUACUGACACUGAGGUGCGAAAGCAUGGGGAGCAAACA
RNAcentral lists this ribosomal RNA (207 nucleotides) under uncultured Acinetobacter sp. RNAcentral describes it as "partial 16S ribosomal RNA". It matches the Rfam family "Bacterial small subunit ribosomal RNA", at positions 568 to 774 of the family's 1533-position model. The record is from RNAcentral. Lineage: Bacteria; Pseudomonadati; Pseudomonadota; Gammaproteobacteria; Moraxellales; Moraxellaceae.